UACAGAGGUCUCGAGCGUUGUUCGGAAUCACUGGGCGUAAAGGGUGCGUAGGCCGCACGGUAAGUCAGAGGUGAAAUCCCGGAGCUCAACUCCGGAAUGGCCUCCGAUACUGCCGUGCUCGAGGACUGGAGAGGAGAUUGGAAUUCACAGUGGAGCAGUGAAAUGCGUAGAUAUUGUGAGGAACACUAGUGGCGAAGGCGAAUCUCUGGACAGUUCCUGACGCUGAGGCACGAAGGCCAGGGGAGCAAACGGG
RNAcentral lists this ribosomal RNA (253 nucleotides) under uncultured bacterium. Its description in RNAcentral is "partial 16S ribosomal RNA". It matches the Rfam family "Bacterial small subunit ribosomal RNA", at positions 524 to 776 of the family's 1533-position model. The record is from RNAcentral.